Molecule: signal recognition particle RNA, 99 nt
Filed under: Anaerolineales bacterium
Lineage: Bacteria; Bacillati; Chloroflexota; Anaerolineae; Anaerolineales
Also listed under: 1 other name
Description: signal recognition particle sRNA small type
Rfam family: Bacterial small signal recognition particle RNA
About the family: The signal recognition particle (SRP) is a universally conserved ribonucleoprotein involved in the co-translational targeting of proteins to membranes. Archaeal SRP consists of a 7S RNA and homologues of the eukaryotic SRP19 and SRP54 proteins. In most bacteria, the SRP consists of a 4.5S RNA and the Ffh protein (a homologue of the eukaryotic SRP54 protein).
Source: RNAcentral
AUUUGGGUCCCAAGCGGCGGAAGGUCGCGAACGAGUCAGGUCCGAGAGGAAGCAGCUAUAAGCGCAUCCUUCUGGGUGCCUUGGGUAAACCUGGAUUCG